Molecule: ribosomal RNA, 1517 nt
Filed under: Shigella flexneri 2a
Lineage: Bacteria; Pseudomonadati; Pseudomonadota; Gammaproteobacteria; Enterobacterales; Enterobacteriaceae
Description: partial 23S ribosomal RNA
Rfam family: Bacterial large subunit ribosomal RNA
Source: RNAcentral
GCGCACGGUGGAUGCCUUGGCACUAGGAGCCGAUGAAGGACGGGACGAACACCGAUAUGCUUCGGGGAGCUGUAAGCAAGCUUUGAUCCGGAGAUUUCCGAAUGGGGAAACCCACCACUCGUAAUGGAGUGGUAUCCAUAUCUGAAUUCAUAGGAUAUGAGAAGGCAGACCCGGGGAACUGAAACAUCUAAGUACCCGGAGGAAGAGAAAGCAAAUGCGAUUCCCUGAGUAGCGGCGAGCGAAACGGGAUUAGCCCAAACCAAGAGGCUUGCCUCUUGGGGUUGUAGGACACUCUGUACGGAGUUACAAAGGAACGAGGUAGAUGAAGAGGUCUGGAAAGGCCCGCCAUAGGAGGUAACAGCCCUGUAGUCAAAACUUCGUUCUCUCCUGAGUGGAUCCUGAGUACGGCGGAACACGUGAAAUUCCGUCGGAAUCCGGGAGGACCAUCUCCCAAGGCUAAAUACUCCCUAGUGACCGAUAGUGAACCAGUACCGUGAGGGAAAGGUGAAAAGCACCCCGGAAGGGGAGUGAAAGAGAUCCUGAAACCGUGUGCCUACAAGUAGUCAGAGCCCGUUAACGGGUGAUGGCGUGCCUUUUGUAGAAUGAACCGGCGAGUUACGAUCCCGUGCAAGGUUAAGCAGAAGAUGCGGAGCCGCAGCGAAAGCGAGUCUGAAUAGGGCGCAUGAGUACGUGGUCGUAGACCCGAAACCAGGUGAUCUACCCAUGUCCAGGGUGAAGUUCAGGUAACACUGAAUGGAGGCCCGAACCCACGCACGUUGAAAAGUGCGGGGAUGAGGUGUGGGUAGGGGUGAAAUGCCAAUCGAACCUGGAGAUAGCUGGUUCUCUCCGAAAUAGCUUUAGGGCUAGCCUCAAGGUAAGAGUCUUGGAGGUAGAGCACUGAUUGGACUAGGGGCCCCUACCGGGUUACCGAAUUCAGUCAAACUCCGAAUGCCAAUGACUUAUCCUUGGGAGUCAGACUGCGAGUGAUAAGAUCCGUAGUCGAAAGGGAAACAGCCCAGACCGCCAGCUAAGGUCCCAAAGUAUACGUUAAGUGGAAAAGGAUGUGGAGUUGCUUAGACAACCAGGAUGUUGGCUUAGAAGCAGCCACCAUUUAAAGAGUGCGUAAUAGCUCACUGGUCGAGUGACUCUGCGCCGAAAAUGUACCGGGGCUAAACGUAUCACCGAAGCUGCGGACUGUUCUUCGAACAGUGGUAGGAGAGCGUUCUAAGGGCUGUGAAGCCAGACCGGAAGGACUGGUGGAGCGCUUAGAAGUGAGAAUGCCGGUAUGAGUAGCGAAAGAGGGGUGAGAAUCCCCUCCACCGAAUGCCUAAGGUUUCCUGAGGAAGGCUCGUCCGCUCAGGGUUAGUCGGGACCUAAGCCGAGGCCGAAAGGCGUAGGCGAUGGACAACAGGUUGAUAUUCCUGUACCACCUCCUCACCAUUUGAGCAAUGGGGGGACGCAGGAGGAUAGGGUAAGCGCGGUAUUGGAUAUCCGCGUCCAAGCAGUUAGAGAUCGGA